GGAGGGGGGCGAGCGUUGUUCGGAAUUAUUGGGCGUAAAGGGCGUGUAGGCGGCCUCAUUAGUCAGAUGUGAAAGCCCUUGGGCUUAACCAAGGAAUUGCAUCUGAUACUGCGAGGCUUGAAUCCGGGAGGGGAGAGUGGAAUUCCCAGUGUAGCGGUGAAAUGCGUAGAUAUUGGGAGGAACACCAGUGGCGAAGGCGGCUCUCUGGACCGGUAUUGACGCUGAUACGCGAAAGCUAGGGGAGCGAACGGGAUUAGAUACCCCGGUAGUCCUAGCUGUAAACGUUGGGCACUUGGUGUGGCGGGUAUCGACCCCUGCCGUGCCGAAGCUAACGCAUUAAGUGCCCCGCCUGGGGAGUACGGUCGCAAAGGCUG
This 374-nucleotide ribosomal RNA is filed under the name uncultured organism. Its description in RNAcentral is "partial 16S ribosomal RNA". It matches the Rfam family "Bacterial small subunit ribosomal RNA", at positions 526 to 896 of the family's 1533-position model. The record is from RNAcentral.